This 762-nucleotide ribosomal RNA is filed under the name Dromiciops gliroides (monito del monte). RNAcentral describes it as "partial small subunit ribosomal RNA". It matches the Rfam family "Bacterial small subunit ribosomal RNA", at positions 216 to 1369 of the family's 1533-position model. Lineage: Eukaryota; Metazoa; Chordata; Mammalia; Microbiotheria; Microbiotheriidae. The record is from RNAcentral.
CGCUAACCGGUGAGAAUGCCCUUAAAAACUAUAUAAAGUUAAAAGGAGCUGGUAUCAGGCACACCCCCUAGGUAGCCCAUUACACCUUGCUUAACCACACCCCCCCGGGAUACAGCAGUGACUAACAUUAAGCCAUAAACGAAAGUUUGACUGAGUCAUAAUUUAUAGGGUUGGUAAAUUUCGUGCCAGCCACCGCGGUCAUACGAUUAACCCAAAUUAACAGACCACCGGCGUAAAGCGUGUUUAAGUAUAAUACUCUAAUAAAGUUAAAACCUAACUAAACUGUAAAACGUUAUAGUUAGUACCAAAAUAUGCAACUAAAGUGACUUUAAUCUACACUGAACACACGAUAGCUAAGACACAAACUGGGAUUAGAUACCCCACUAUGCUUAGCCCUAAACCCAAAUAGUUAAAAAACAAAACUAUUCGCCAGGGAACUACUAGCUAAUGCUUAAAACUCAAAGGACUUGGCGGUGCCCUAAACCCACCUAGAGGAGCCUGUUCUAUAAUCGAUAAACCCCGAUAAACCCCACCUCUUCUUGCCAAUACAGCCUAUAUACCGCCAUCGUCAGCUCACCCCAAUAGGGACCCAAAGUAGGCAAAACUAUAUAAUCAUAAAAACGUUAGGUCAAGGUGUAGCAUAUGAAGAGGGAAGCAAUGGGCUACAUUUUCUAAACUAGAACAUAACGAAUGGCCUUAUGAAAUCUAAGACCUGAAGGAGGAUUUAGUAGUAAAUUAGGAGUAGAGAGCCUAAUUGAAAUA